GUUCUUGAUAUAAUCUUAUAACCCGCCUAUCGCUCUUUAUCUAGUCUUAUAAUUUCCAUCUAUUUUUUUUUAUUCAGUCUCAUAAUCACUGAUCUGCCUUCAUCCAAUUUCAUAAUCUCCAUCCAUCUCCCUUCAUCCAUUCUCGUAACCGAUCUUCCUUUAUCCAAUUUCGUAAUCUCCAUCUAUCUCCCUUCAUCCAUUCUCAUAAUCGCCGAUCUUCCUUCAUUCAAUUUCAUGAUACCCAUCCAUUUUCCUUCAUCCAGUCUCAUAAUUACUAAUCUUCAUCCAAUUUCAUAAUCUCCAUCCAUCUCUCUUCAUCCAGUCUCAUAAUCACCGAUUUUUCUUCAUCCAAUUUCAUAAUCUUCAUCCAUCUCCCUUCGUCCAAUCUCAUAAUCAAUGAUCUUUUGUCAUCCAAUUUCAUAAUCCCCAUCCAUCUCCCUUCAUCCAGUCUCACAAUCACUAAUCAUCCUUCAUUCAAUUUCAUAAUCUCCAUCCAUCUCCCUUCGUACAGUCUCACAACCUGCUAUCUCUCUUCAUUCAGUCUCAUAAUUUUUAUCCAAUCAUUGUAAUCUCUCAUUUUCAAUCUUUUGCUGUGAAUUUGCGAGAGAAUGAUAUUUUUAAUUUUUUACAUUCAUUACUCUCACAUUGGGGUUUUAUGGGAGGAAAUUUUAUAAAAAUUUUAUAAAACUCUAAACUUAGUGAAAGUUGAACUCAAGACCUCAUAUACUCUGAUGUUAUGUAAAAUAAUCAAUUGCCUUUAAAAGUUUAAACCGUUAGAAAAUAAUAUUUUUAAUAUUUUUAUAUGCAGCACAUGUCAUUCAGGGAUAAGAGACUGUUUGACCCCACAUUUUGCUUUAGCUUUUAGCAAUAGUAAUUUUAGAAUGGUGUUUGACGAUGAAAAAAUAAAAAUAAAUAAAUGCAGAGCUUUUGGCAAAAACGCAAAGUAAAAAAUUAAAUU
Molecule: long non-coding RNA, 958 nt
Filed under: Ananas comosus (pineapple)
Lineage: Eukaryota; Viridiplantae; Streptophyta; Magnoliopsida; Poales; Bromeliaceae
Description: long non-coding RNA (ACOM_LNC008931)
Source: RNAcentral